CUGCCUUCAAGCAUCUGUUUAACAAAGCACAUCUUGCACCCCCCUUAAUCCAUUCAACCCUGAGUGGACACAGCGCAUGUUUCAGAGAGCACAGGGUUGGGGGUAAGGUCACAGAUCAACAGGAUAAGAAUUUUUCUUAGUACAGGCAAAAUGAAAAGUCUCCCAUGUCUACCUCUUUCUACACAGACACGGCAACCAUCCGAUUUCUCAAUCUUUUCCCCACCUUUCCCCGCUUUCUAUUCCUCAAAACCGCCAUUGUCAUCAUGGCCCGUUCUCAAUGAGUUGUUGGGUACACCUCCCAGACGGGGUGGUGGCCGG
This 318-nucleotide long non-coding RNA is filed under the name Homo sapiens (human). RNAcentral describes it as "HSALNT0145486". Lineage: Eukaryota; Metazoa; Chordata; Mammalia; Primates; Hominidae. The record is from RNAcentral.